RNAcentral lists this ribosomal RNA (525 nucleotides) under uncultured bacterium. RNAcentral describes it as "bacterial SSU rRNA". It matches the Rfam family "Bacterial small subunit ribosomal RNA", at positions 30 to 518 of the family's 1533-position model. The record is from RNAcentral.
CGAACGCUGGCGGCGUGCCUAAUACAUGCAAGUCGAGCGCGGGAAGCGGACAAUCACCCGUUCGGGGUGUGCGUCCGUGGAACGAGCGGCGGAUGGGUGAGUAUCACGUGGGCAACCUGCCUGUAAGAUUGGGAUAACUCGCGGAAACGUGAGCUAAUACCGAAUGAAGUCUUUCACCGCCUGGUGAAAGGAUGAAAGAUGGCUCUUGAGCUAUCACUUACAGAUGGGCCCGCGGCGCAUUAGCUAGUUGGUGGGGUAAAGGCCUACCAAGGCGACGAUGCGUAGCCGACCUGAGAGGGUGAUCGGCCACACUGGGACUGAGACACGGCCCAGACUCCUACGGGAGGCAGCAGUAGGGAAUCUUCCGCAAUGGACGGAAGUCUGACGGAGCAACGCCGCGUGAGUGAUGAAGGUCUUCGGAUCGUAAAACUCUGUUGUCAGGGAAGAACAAGUUGUGUUCUAACAGGACAUGACCUUGACGGUACCUGACCAGAAAGCCCCGGCUAACUACGUGCCAGCAGCCGC